UAAUUUAAUUUCAUCCAAAUUCUAAUGUAACAGGCCAAUUCUACCCAGGCCCAAAACCAAAUAAAAAUAAUAAAUAAAAAGUCCAAAUAUCAAAAGUCCAUUUACAAUACUUACAAGCCCAAAUUAUAUUCAACCCAAACAACCCAAUUUACAAACUCAAAAUUAACUUAAACCUAACCCAAAGUCUAAAGGCCCAAAACACUUAAAAAUUUUCUGUAAAACCUAAACCCUAAUUUCUUUCUGCCGUCGCACCCC
This 255-nucleotide long non-coding RNA is filed under the name Gossypium raimondii (Peruvian cotton). Its description in RNAcentral is "long non-coding RNA (GRAI_LNC004759)". The record is from RNAcentral. Lineage: Eukaryota; Viridiplantae; Streptophyta; Magnoliopsida; Malvales; Malvaceae.